Molecule: unclassified non-coding RNA, 442 nt
Filed under: Hevea brasiliensis (rubber tree)
Lineage: Eukaryota; Viridiplantae; Streptophyta; Magnoliopsida; Malpighiales; Euphorbiaceae
Source: RNAcentral
UCACCAUAACCUUGGUUCUGACCCAUGUUAAAUUUAUCACGAGCAAUGUCUCCAGGUCUAUUUCUGCACCAAAACUUUGUUGUAUGAUCAUUGCUACCACUGCAAAGAAGAUAUCCAAUAGGAUGCCAUGCAAUAUCCCACACGCUAUUAUCAUGAGCAUUGGCAACUUCAAUCUGGGGAGUUUCAUGCCCAACAAGCCAAUGGAUAAUGGACCCAUCAAAACUCCCACUAACAAAGUACUCUUCAUGGGAUGGAUGCCAAGCCAAUGCAGUCACAUCUUUACGGUGUCCACGGAAAGAUUCAAGCUCCUUCAUAGCUCUAAUAUCAUAAAGCUUAACGAUUUGAUCCUUUGCAGCAGUUACCACCCAGUUACCAUUUUGAUUCCAUUUGACACAAAGCACCGUGUUUUUGUGGCCAUGAAAUGAGCAAAGCUCUCUCCCAG